RNAcentral lists this ribosomal RNA (253 nucleotides) under uncultured bacterium. RNAcentral describes it as "partial 16S ribosomal RNA". It matches the Rfam family "Bacterial small subunit ribosomal RNA", at positions 524 to 776 of the family's 1533-position model. The record is from RNAcentral.
UACGGAGGGGGCUAGCGUUAUUCGGAAUUACUGGGCGUAAAGCGUUCGUAGGCGGCUUUGUAAGUCAGAGGUGAAAGCCCACGACUCAAUCGUGGAACUGCCUUUGAGACUGCUUCGCUUGAAGAUGGGAGAGGUUAGUGGAAUUCCGAGUGUAGAGGUGAAAUUCGUAGAUAUUCGGAAGAACACCAGUGGCGAAGGCGGCUAACUGGACCAUUCUUGACGCUGAGGAACGAAAGCGUGGGGAGCAAACAGG